Non-coding RNA from Nelumbo nucifera (sacred lotus), 622 nucleotides. The record is from RefSeq and is a predicted model, not a curated record. Lineage: Eukaryota; Viridiplantae; Streptophyta; Magnoliopsida; Proteales; Nelumbonaceae.
AGUUUUUGUGUUUCUAUACAGGUGGCAUUCCAUUGCUGAUAUUUUCAGAAUGGUGGUUGGCAAAGGAAAAGUUUUCCAAAAUUGAUUCGUUUAUUUUAUCUUCAUUUCCUGGAGCAACAUUGCAUGGGUGCAACGGGCUGAGUAUUAAAUAUCAGUUGCCAUAUGGAGAGGAUUCCUCGCUAGCUGAUAUUUUUGGACACCUGGAGCGAAACAGGAGUAGACUCGGAGUGGCUGAAUACAGCAUUAGCCAAUCAACACUUGAAACCAUUUUUAACCAUUUUGCCGCAAACCCAUAAUGUACAGUCGUUCACUUAAACAGAGAAAGGUGAUGUCUAACCAGUUUGCAGCAAGUCAAUGAUGUACGAUUAAUCACCAUUCACCACUGGCAUCGUCUUAUCGUCUGGGGAAAUUAUAGUCUUCACCUCAGUUUUUGUAAGUCAUUUGUAAAUGGUUGAAUAUGUUACAGUUCAUAUAAAUCAAAAGCUCUUUGCACGUUAAAAGUAAAUUUUUCCUUCUUGUGGCCUGAUAAGCAAAUCCUGUUAAUGAUGACUGAAUUGCUUGAAAGGAUAUUUUGAGGUUGCUUUUGUAUCGAUGGCAUUUAUAAGAUAAACGUUUUGUACGA